UCCAGACUCCUACGGGAGGCAGCAGUGAGGAAUAUUGGUCAAUGGGCGGGAGCCUGAACCAGCCAAGUCGCGUGAGGGAAGACGGUCCUACGGAUUGUAAACCUCUUUUGCCGGGGAGCAACGGGGUCCUUGCGAGGGUCCGAUGAGAGUACCCGGAGAAAAAGCAUCGGCUAACUCCGUGCCAGCAGCCGCGGUAAUACGUAGGUGGCAAGCGUUAUCCGGAUUUACUGGGUGUAAAGGGCGUGUAGGCGGGAUGGUAAGUCAGAUGUGAAAACUAUGGGCUCAACCCAUAGCCUGCAUUUGAAACUAUCGUUCUUGAGUGUUGGAGAGGCAGGCGGAAUUCCGUGUGUAGCGGUGAAAUGCGUAGAUAUACGGAGGAACACCAGUGGCGAAGGCGGCCUGCUGGACAAUAACUGACGCUGAGGCGCGAAAGCGUGGGGAGUAAACAGGAUUAGAUACCCCAGUAAAA
This 469-nucleotide ribosomal RNA is filed under the name uncultured bacterium. RNAcentral's name for it is "bacterial SSU rRNA". It matches the Rfam family "Bacterial small subunit ribosomal RNA", at positions 330 to 793 of the family's 1533-position model. The record is from RNAcentral.